GAUGUUCGGUUAAGUCCGGCAACGAGACGCAACCCACAUCUUUAGUUGCCAGCAGUUCGGCUGGGCACUCUAGAGAAACUGCCCGUGAUAAGCGGGAGGAAGGUGUGGAUGACGUCAAGUCCUCAUGGCCCUUACGGGUUGGGCUACACACGUGCUACAAUGGUAGUGACAAUGGGUUAAUCCCAAAAAGCUAUCUCAGUUCGGAUUGGGGUCUGCAACUCGACCCCAUGAAGUCGGAAUCGCUAGUAAUCGCGUAACAGCAUGACGCGGUGAAUACGUUCCCGGGCCUUGUACACAC
This 298-nucleotide ribosomal RNA is filed under the name uncultured bacterium. RNAcentral's name for it is "partial 16S ribosomal RNA". It matches the Rfam family "Bacterial small subunit ribosomal RNA", at positions 1071 to 1390 of the family's 1533-position model. The record is from RNAcentral.